This 468-nucleotide ribosomal RNA is filed under the name uncultured bacterium. RNAcentral describes it as "partial 16S ribosomal RNA". It matches the Rfam family "Bacterial small subunit ribosomal RNA", at positions 28 to 507 of the family's 1533-position model. The record is from RNAcentral.
GACGAACGCUGGCGGCGUGCUUAACACAUGCAAGUCGAACGGACAGGCCCUGCUUUUGUGGGGUUCUCGAGUGGCGAACGGGUGAGUAACACGUGAGUAAACUGCCCUUGACUUUGGGGUAACUUCUGGGAACAGGGGCUAAUACCGGAUAGAAGCUCCUGCUGCACGUGGGUGGUUGGUAAGUGUCGGCUGUUGGGGCUGGACUGGCGGCUUAUCAGCUGGUUGGUGUGGUAGUGGCUGUCCAGGGCUUUGACGGGUAGCCGGCCUGAGAGGGUGACCGGCCACAUUGGGACUGAGAUACGGAGCAGUCUCGUAUGGUAGGCAGCAGUGGGGAAUAUUGCACAAUGGGCGGAAGCCUGAUGCAGCAACGCCGGGUGCGGGAUGACGGCUUUUGGGUUGUAAACAGCUUUCGCCGGUGACGAAGAGUGAGUGACGGUAACGGGUAAAGAAGCACCGGCUAACUACGUG